UGAAGGUUGGACGAGGGAUGAGCUGUCUCCUUUACGUAAUUUGAAUUUAACUUUUGAGUGAAAAGGCUCAAAUUAUUUAGUGGGACGAUAAGACCCUAUAAAACUUUAUAUAAGUUUAAUUUGGCUUACAAUUUGAGUGAAAAGUAGCUUUAUUAGGUUUAUAUUUCGUUGGGGAGAUGUAGAUAUAAUGUGUAACUGUCUGUUUAAUUUAAUAAUUAUAAUUAGUGUGUGAUCCUUCUUUGUGGAUUAAAAGUAUAAGUUACUUUAGGGAUAACAGCGUGAUUUUCUUUGAGAGUUCUUAUCGACAAGAGUAGUUGCGACCUCCAUGUUGAAUUAAAAUUUCGGUUAGGUGUAGCCGUCUAGCUGGUAGGUCUGUUCGACCUUUAAAAUUUUACAUGAUUUGAGUUCAAACCGGUGUGAGCCAGGUUGGUUUCUAUCUAAA
RNAcentral lists this ribosomal RNA (442 nucleotides) under Macrobrachium superbum. Its description in RNAcentral is "partial 16S ribosomal RNA". It matches the Rfam family "Bacterial large subunit ribosomal RNA", at positions 1993 to 2648 of the family's 2925-position model. Lineage: Eukaryota; Metazoa; Arthropoda; Malacostraca; Decapoda; Palaemonidae. The record is from RNAcentral.